Molecule: signal recognition particle RNA, 148 nt
Filed under: Gorilla gorilla gorilla (western lowland gorilla)
Lineage: Eukaryota; Metazoa; Chordata; Mammalia; Primates; Hominidae
Description: Metazoan signal recognition particle RNA
Rfam family: Metazoan signal recognition particle RNA
About the family: The signal recognition particle (SRP) is a universally conserved ribonucleoprotein. It is involved in the co-translational targeting of proteins to membranes.
Source: Rfam by way of RNAcentral
GCCGGGCACGGUGGCGCGUGCCUGUAAUCCCAGCUACUCAGGAGGUUGAGGCAGGAGAAUCGCUUGAACCCAGGAGGCAGAGGUUGCAGUGAACCAGGAUUGCGCCACUGCACUCCAGCCUGGGCAACACAGCGAGACUCUGUCUCAU